ACGCUGGCGGCAUGCCUAACACAUGCAAGUCGAACGAGUGCCUUCGGGUGCUAGUGGCGCACGGGUGCGUAACGCGUGGGAAUCUGCCCCUUGGUUCGGAAUAACAGUUAGAAAUGACUGCUAAUACCGGAUGAUGACGUAAGUCCAAAGAUUUAUCGCCGAGGGAUGAGCCCGCGUAGGAUUAGGUAGUUGGUGUGGUAAAGGCGCACCAAGCCGACGAUCCUUAGCUGGUCUGAGAGGAUGAUCAGCCACACUGGGACUGAGACACGGCCCAGACUCCUACGGGAGGCAGCAGUGGGGAAUAUUGGACAAUGGGCGCAAGCCUGAUCCAGCAAUGCCGCGUGAGUGAUGAAGGCCUUAGGGUUGUAAAGCUCUUUUACCCGGGAUGAUAAUGACAGUACCGGGAGAAUAAGCUCCGGCUAACUCCGUGCCAGCAGCCGCGGUAAUACGGAGGGAGCUAGCGUUAUUCGGAAUUACUGGGCGUAAAGCGCACGUAGGCGGCUUUGUAAGUUAGAGGUGAAAGCCCGGAGCUCAACUCCGGAAUUGCCUUUAAGACUGCAUCGCUUGAAUCCAGGAGAGGUGAGUGGAAU
This 590-nucleotide ribosomal RNA is filed under the name uncultured bacterium. RNAcentral describes it as "bacterial SSU rRNA". It matches the Rfam family "Bacterial small subunit ribosomal RNA", at positions 33 to 667 of the family's 1533-position model. The record is from RNAcentral.